RNAcentral lists this ribosomal RNA (524 nucleotides) under uncultured bacterium. RNAcentral describes it as "bacterial SSU rRNA". It matches the Rfam family "Bacterial small subunit ribosomal RNA", at positions 1 to 487 of the family's 1533-position model. The record is from RNAcentral.
GAUUAGAGUUUGAUCAUGGCUCAGGAUGAACGCCGGCGGUGUGCCUAAUACAUGCAAGUCGUACGCACUGGCCCAACUGAUUGAUGGUGCUUGCACCUGAUUGACGAUGGAUCACCAGUGAGUGGCGGACGGGUGAGUAACACGUAGGUAACCUGCCCCGGAGCGGGGGAUAACAUUUGGAAACAGAUGCUAAUACCGCAUAACAACAAAAGCCGCAUGGUUUUUGUUUGAAAGAUGGCUUUGGCUAUCACUCUGGGAUGGACCUGCGGUGCAUUAGCUAGUUGGUAAGGUAACGGCUUACCAAGGCGAUGAUGCAUAGCCGAGUUGAGAGACUGAUCGGCCACAAUGGAACUGAGACACGGUCCAUACUCCUACGGGAGGCAGCAGUAGGGAAUCUUCCACAAUGGGCGCAAGCUGAUGGAGCAACACCGCGUGAGUGAAGAAGGGUUUCGGCUCGUAAAGCUCUGUUGUUGGANAAGAACNUGCGUGAGAGUWACUGUUCACGCAUACGGUAUCCAACCAGA